RNAcentral lists this long non-coding RNA (355 nucleotides) under Gadus morhua (Atlantic cod). Its description in RNAcentral is "lncRNA (ENSGMOG00000028815.1)". The record is from RNAcentral. Lineage: Eukaryota; Metazoa; Chordata; Actinopteri; Gadiformes; Gadidae.
AUGGGGAAGCUAUCUGUUCAUAUCCAGACCCCUCUGACUCCAGGGCAGCUCCCCUAUCCGACUUCUGAUGAAGAUGAAUCGCGUGUCGCCGCUUCUAAUGUUCUUAUUUUUUUAUUUACUUUAAACAUGAUUCUCUUACAUUCUGUAUUUUGCUCUCUCUCUCUGUCUGUCUGUCUCUCUUUCUCUCUCUCUCUUCCCGUCUGCUUUUGACCCUAUUGACUGGUAAUUGCUAUAACGACGGCAAAUGGAGGCCAGUUUCUAUGGAGACAAUAAAACUGUCAUGUAGUGAAUAAUAAAUAUUUGCGUGGCAAUUUUGUGCUCCACUGACCCCAAAAGUCAAAGACAGAAAAUAAAC